This is a regulatory RNA element of Segniliparus rotundus DSM 44985, 103 nucleotides long. It matches the Rfam family "mraW RNA". The record is from Rfam. Lineage: Bacteria; Bacillati; Actinomycetota; Actinomycetes; Mycobacteriales; Segniliparaceae.
GCCAUGCUCUCGUCUUCGACGGCCAGCCGAAUGCCGAUCUGGCGCGCUUCCCCGGCGCCAGAUCGGCAUUCGGCUGGCCGUCGAAGACGAGGCGGCUCGUUGU